GACGAACGCUGGCGGCGUGCUUAACACAUGCAAGUCGAACGGAAAGGCCCUGCUUCUGUGGGUUGCUCGAGUGGCGAACGGGUGAGUAACACGUGAGUAACCUGCCCUUGACUUUGGGAUAACUUCAGGAAACUGGGGCUAAUACCGGAUAGGAGCUCCUGCUGCAUGGUGGGGGUUGGAAAGUUUCGGCGGUUGGGGAUGGACUCGCGGCUUAUCAGCUUGUUGGUGGGGUAGUGGCGUACCAAGGCUUUGACGGGUAGCCGGCCUGAGAGGGUGACCGGCCACAUUGGGACUGAGAUACGGCCCAGACUCCUACGGGAGGCAGCAGUGGGGAAUAUUGCACAAUGGGCGGAAGCCUGAUGCAGCAACGCCGCGUGCGGGAUGACGGCCUUCGGGUUGUAAACCGCUUUCGCCUGUGACGAAGCGUGAGUGACGGUAAUGGGUAAAGAAGCACCGGCUAACUACGUG
This 468-nucleotide ribosomal RNA is filed under the name uncultured bacterium. RNAcentral describes it as "partial 16S ribosomal RNA". It matches the Rfam family "Bacterial small subunit ribosomal RNA", at positions 28 to 507 of the family's 1533-position model. The record is from RNAcentral.